AUACAAGAAUGGAAGGAUUUACCAGUGCUACUUUCUCAUAAUGAGAUCUGGCCACUCACCAAAAUACUUCUAACAAAGAGGUGGCAUUUUCCCUAACACUGGCAAAGUUGAUGAUUGAAGAUAGUGGAUCAGGAGUUAAAGGCUUCAUUUUUGAACUAAAAUAAAACCUUCAUGAUUGAUUUUAAGUGAAGAUGAAGAAGAGGAACUCAAACUGCUUUUGCUGAAAAGCACUGACUUCUUCUUGGGCCCAGGAAUUAGCCAUGGCAAGAGAAGCUUGGCAUCCCUGCCUCCAUUUUGUA
This is a non-coding RNA of Castor canadensis (American beaver), 299 nucleotides long. Lineage: Eukaryota; Metazoa; Chordata; Mammalia; Rodentia; Castoridae. The record is from RefSeq and is a predicted model, not a curated record.